CAGUCGCCACGGGAAUACGUAGGGGGCGAGCGUUGUCCGAAGUUACUGGGCGUAAAGCGCGCGUAGGCGGCUUCUUAAGUCUGAGGUGAAAGGUUCAACGCUUAACGUGAACAGUGCCUUGGAUACUGGGGAGCUUGAGUAUGGGAGAGGGCAGUGGAAUGGCUGGUGUAGCGGUGAAAUGCGUAGAUAUCAGUCGGAACACCCAUGGCGAAGGCAGCUGCCUGGCCUAAUACUGACGCUGAGGUGCGAAAGCGUGGGGAGCGAACGGGAUUAGAUACCCCGGUAGUCCCUGUCUCUUAUA
Molecule: ribosomal RNA, 301 nt
Filed under: uncultured bacterium
Lineage: Bacteria
Description: partial 16S ribosomal RNA
Rfam family: Bacterial small subunit ribosomal RNA
Source: RNAcentral